This 311-nucleotide small nuclear RNA is filed under the name Felis catus (domestic cat). RNAcentral describes it as "7SK RNA". It matches the Rfam family "7SK RNA". Rfam says of the family: 7SK was discovered as an abundant small nuclear RNA in the mid-70s but a possible function has only recently been suggested. Two independent studies have found that 7SK RNA binds the CDK9/cyclin T complex (known as elongation factor P-TEFb). Lineage: Eukaryota; Metazoa; Chordata; Mammalia; Carnivora; Felidae. The record is from Rfam by way of RNAcentral.
GGAUGGGAGGGCGAUCUGGCUGCGACAUCUGUCACCCCAUUGAUCGCCAGGGUUGAUUCAGCUGAUCUGGCUGGUUAGGCGGAUGUGUCCUUCCUCCCUCACUGCUCCAUGUGCAUCCCUCCCGAAGCUGUGCGCUUGGUCGAAGAGGAUGGCCUUCCCUGAUAGAGGAGGAUCGUUCUUCGGUCAAGGGUAUACGAGUAGCUGCUCUCCCCUGCUAGAACCUCCAAACAAGCUCUCAAAUGGCAAUAAGUAUAUGCCUUUCAAUAAUUACUUGAAAUACAAAUGGACUAAAUGUUCUAAUAAAAAAAUAU